CCUACGGGAGGCUGCAGUGAGGAAUAUUGGUCAAUGGACGAGAGUCUGAACCAGCCAAGUAGCGUGAAGGAUGACGGCCCUCUGGGUUGUAAACUUCUUUUAUAUGGGAUAAAAUGUUCCACGUUGGGGCUUUUAUUUUUUGCAUCUUCAUAAGAAGCAGCUAACUCCGUGCCAGCAGCCGCGGUAAUACGGAGGAUCCGGGCGUUGUCCGGAUUUAUUGGGUUUAAAGGGAGCGUAGGUGGCUUGUUAAGUCAGUUGUGAAAGUUUUCGGCUCAACCGUAAAAUUGCAGUUGAAACUGGAAGUCUUGAGUACAGUAGGGGUGGGCGGAAUUCGUGGUGUAGCGGUGAAAUGCUUAGAUAUCACGAAGAACUCCGAUCGCGAAGGCAGGUCACUGGAGUGCAACUGACACUGAGGCUCGAAAGUGUGGGUAUCAAACAGGAUUAGAUACCCUUGUAGUC
Molecule: ribosomal RNA, 459 nt
Filed under: uncultured bacterium
Lineage: Bacteria
Description: partial 16S ribosomal RNA
Rfam family: Bacterial small subunit ribosomal RNA
Source: RNAcentral